GCUAUAAAUGAAAGGUGUGUCAGCUGACCUCUGCAUGUCUUAAGAUAGAGUGUGGUCACUGAGCGGAGGUCAAACUAACAUCACAAACUGUAGUUCAAAGUGUAUUCAUAUUGUAGAGGAGAGGACUUAUGAUAGAUAGGUGGAGAUCAUAUCAUUUCUAAAAUACAUCUAGAGCAUUUGUCAUCCAUUUAGUUCAAGGAAUAGUCAACUUUGGUACUUGUGGUUGGGUGUUCACACCAAGCAACGUGUGACAUAAAGAAGUGUUCUCUUCCUGACACGCCAGCAGAAGAUAAAUGAUCCCCCUGAUAAUAAUAGUUCUGGUGGACACAUCAGAGCUGUUUUCUUCAACAUACACAAUAUUGCAGGAAAAGUAUUCCCACAUGCAACAAGUAAACAACAGAAGGUUAUGCAUAGAAGCAGAGACCCACUCACGUGAUGUGGUCUAAGAACAGUAAGCCUGUCCACACCACCAUCCUGAACCCCCAUAUCCACCUGAUCGGGGAGGAAGCUGCUUGCAUCGCCUACAUCCGUAUCAAACAGUACAUUGACACCAACGGCAUGCCCCGCACCGCCCAGUCUGAGGAGACACACAUCUGGCAUCGCCGUGACGGCAAGUGGCAAAUAGUCCACUUCCACCGCUCUGGAUCACCCUCCGCCAUCACCAAGUAAGCCAGUCUGCUGAACUCCAGAGCAGGAGGGUUUGAGUGAGACGUCUCUCUGAGUGACACCGGUGGGUUACCAGCCGGCUGCGUGGGGACACAGAGGGACGCCCACCGACCGGCCUGAGGAACCACGAGCCCGCCCGCCCUCCUGCCCGCCCGCCACAUCUCAUCUCUUUACUUGAAAUCAGUUUUAUGCCUCCUCUGAACUCCAUCACAAGCAAAUCACAGUAACGUCACACUAUGUCACUGUCUCAUGUAUGUACUGUAUAUGCUGUGCGUUUCAGGAACAUUUUAGCCGUGUCAUGCUGUCUCGCCACACGUCCUUCUCUGACUUUCUUGUUUUUGUCAUACUACAGUACUUGGCAGAGGCACAAUUAGUACCAAUGGAUCUAUGAGUAGGAUUCAAUCUGUAAAGUAUAGCCGCAGGAAGUAGGCGUGCUGAGUGUGCUGCUGCACCCUGAUAAUCAUCUUCCCGCGGCUGUAAAGCACUCGCAGUAAUCGCCACCUACAGUUUUCCUUACACUUUACUUUUUUUAUUCAGUUAGACUUAACAGUACACCAUACCGCUGCACACAGCCAUACAGUUUAUUCUCUGAACCCGGACUUGAAAGCUAUGAUGGAAACAUUAAAGAUGUACCAUGUAUCCUUGAAGGGGAAUUAUAAUGCCAAAAUAUCUAUAUUUUUGUUAACUUGAAACACAUUGGAUCAUGAGAAGUGGGAAAGCAUUCACAAAGCGUGAAAUGUUCUUUUUGAUAAUGAAUGUCUUAUGGUGUGUUCCAGAUUGAUAAUCCACUACCACAUGAUCAUGGCACCUCAAGAGCACAUUUAACGUAGACAACAGAGGAAACCAUACUUUGCCCUCACAGGUCUAAAUGAUUAAAUGGCUGACCGUUGGUCUGAAUAGCCCCUUACCUCAUGUGAUGAUAUGAUUUGGCAGCAAACUGCCAUUUCUGGGCUUCAAUACUAUACACAAAUACAUAGUUACAUGUUGUUGAAACAGGUAUAUUUAACAUGAGUACUCAAAUCAAAUUUUAUUAGUCACAUACACAGUUUACAGCAGGCAUAAAAUGUGCAGUGAAAUGCUUAUAUGCUAACUCCCUCAACAAUGCUCCCUCAACAAUUCUCCAUCAGCAAUUUUCCAUCAACAAUUCUCCCUCAACACUUCUCCCUCAACACUUCUCCCUCAACACUUCUCCCUCAACACGGCUCCCUCAACACUGCUCCCUCAACAAUUAUCCCUCAACACUUCUCCCUCAACACUGCUCCCUCAUCAAUGCAGUACAUUAAUAUUAAUAAUAACAUUAAGAGUCCAGUCAGAAAUAUCAAGUAAUCAAAGUAAUAGUAACAUAGAUAUGUACAUAAUAGAACAUAAUACUGGAUGUGGGAGGAGCAUCAAAGCACUUCUUUAGGUUCUUCCAAUGAGGACUGUCGGUAUUUACCAUAUAUCUUCCACACUGUUUAGUGUUAUCAAUACUGUACCCCUCUUGCUUGUUAGAGCAGUUUAACUUCCUUUCAACAGACAGUGUAAACUACAGUAUUCUGCCUACUUCAGAGUAAGAAGCUAUUUAUAACAGACCACUAACACUGCCCCAGGAUGUUCUGCAAUAAGUUAGAUUGGUGUUUUUAUACUAAAUCAUUUGUUCUUCUGAUAAAGAUUUGUUGUGGAUUUAAAAAAUGACAAUGAAUUUGAGUGACUUUGUUUUAUUGAUGCAUCCCAUUCCCUCUAUGUCUUCACUCUCCAGUGUUAACAUCUCUGUUUAUUGCAUGCAAGUGUAUAAAUGAGCGGUGGAUCUCUCUGCUUGUGUUUCUAGUUCUCAAAUUUGUCAGAUUUUUAAAAAUAUUAUAUCUUUUUACUGUCAGAAGAAUGUCCAAACGGGACUAAUUAGAGCUGCAGUAUGUGUUUCCUUAUGUGCUAACAAUAAAUGCCUCACAUAAUAUUUGAUUGUGCGUUGAAAAACUGCCAGAAUUGAAUUUGAUUUAAACAAAAGUUGUUUACUAUUGGCAGUUCAACACAGAUUUAUAUUAAACUUUGUACUGUAAAGCAAUUUGCGAUCAAAUCUGCUGAAUACGACAAACAAAUGUUUUCCUCAAAAUGUUUGAUAGGGAAGGAUACAAGAAGAACCACAACAGCCAAAUCCUCCUUCUAGAACUGAUUCUACAGAUUGUAUACUUGUUUUAUACAGUAGUUUAGUCUUAUUGUGAAAAUGGCCAGACCUACAGCCUACUGCUUUAAUACAGCACAAGAACUUCCAUCACACUGCUGGUCUGAUGUUGCUCUUUCUGUCCUGGCACCAUUGAAUGGAGCACACUGAGGACCUUAUGGUACUGUAUAGGAGCACAGCAUGAAGUAGGAUUUAUAUUAUUCUGGAUAUGUGACGCUUUCUUUAUAUUAUUCUGGAUAUGUGACGCUUUCUUUAUAUUAUUCUGGAUAUGUGACGCUUUCUCUCUUUUUUAUUAUUCUGGACAUGUGAAGCGUUUGUAUUUUUCUGGGUUUGUGACACUUUAUUUGUAUUAUUCUGGAUAUGUGACGCAUUCUUUAUACUAUUCUGGAUAUGUGACGCUUUAUUUUUAUUAUUCUGGAUAUGUAACGCUUUCUUUCUUUGUAAUAUUCUGGAUAUGUGACGCUUUCUUUCUAAAGGUUCAAAGUCAUCAUUUGCAAUUGUUAUAUAAUAUAUUGUGAAUGUGGGUCUGUAAAUAAAAACAUUAU
This is a long non-coding RNA of Coregonus clupeaformis (lake whitefish), 3369 nucleotides long. RefSeq lists it as uncharacterized. The record is from RefSeq and is a predicted model, not a curated record. Lineage: Eukaryota; Metazoa; Chordata; Actinopteri; Salmoniformes; Salmonidae. The transcript has 5 exons.